UACAGAGGUCUCAAGCGUUGUUCGGAUUCAUUGGGCGUAAAGAGCGUGUAGGCGGUCCGGUAAGUCCGCUGUGAAAGUCGGGGGCUCAACCCUCGAAUGCCGGUGGAUACUGUCGGGCUAGAGUGCGGAAGAGGCGAGUGGAAUUCCUGGUGUAGCGGUGAAAUGCGCAGAUAUCAGGAGGAACACCUAUUGCGAAGGCAGCUCGCUGGGACGGUACUGACGCUGAGGCGCGAAAGCGUGGGGAGCGAACAGG
Molecule: ribosomal RNA, 253 nt
Filed under: uncultured bacterium
Lineage: Bacteria
Description: partial 16S ribosomal RNA
Rfam family: Bacterial small subunit ribosomal RNA
Source: RNAcentral